Molecule: non-coding RNA, 79 nt
Organism: Datura stramonium (jimsonweed)
Lineage: Eukaryota; Viridiplantae; Streptophyta; Magnoliopsida; Solanales; Solanaceae
Source: the annotation of a GenBank genome assembly
GUUGGUACUUGCGCAACGGAAGCAUGGUGGGCCCAUAACCCACAGGUCCUAGGAUUGAAACCUGGCUCUGAUACCAACU